Molecule: ribosomal RNA, 558 nt
Filed under: uncultured bacterium
Lineage: Bacteria
Description: bacterial SSU rRNA
Rfam family: Bacterial small subunit ribosomal RNA
Source: RNAcentral
CCUACGGGAGGCAGCAGUGGGGAAUUUUGGGCAAUGGGCGCAAGCCUGACCCAGCGACGCCGCGUGGAGGAUGAAGGCCUUCGGGUUGUAAACUCCUGUCAGGUGGGAAGAAAUGUCCAUCGGUUAAUACCCGAUGGAAGUUGACGGUACCACCAAAGGAAGCCCCGGCUAACUCCGUGCCAGCAGCCGCGGUAAUACGGAGGGGGCAAGCGUUAUUCGGAUUUACUGGGCGUAAAGCGCACGUAGGCGGCAUAGCAAGUCGCAGGUGAAAGCCCUCGGCUCAACCGAGGAACUGCCUGCGAAACUGCGUUGCUUGAGUCCGGGAGGGGGGAGCGGAAUUCCCAGUGUAGCGGUGAAAUGCGUAGAUACUGGGAGGAACACCGGUGGCGAAGGCGGCUCCCUGGACCGGUACUGACGCUGAGGCGCGAAAGCGUGGGUAGCAAACAGGAUUAGAUACCCUGGUAGUCCACGCCGUAAACGAUGGGCACUAGGUGCAGCGGGUGUCGACCCCUGCUGUGCCGAAGUUAACGCAUUAAGUGCCCCGCCUGGGGAGUACGG